AACGAACGCUGGCGGCAUGCCUAACACAUGCAAGUCGAACGAGACCUUCGGGACUAUUGUCGCACGGGGUCGUAGCGCGUGGGAACCUGCCCUUAGGGUCGGAAUAACUCCCCGAAAGGGAUGCUAAUACCGAAUAAUGUCUUCUGACGAAAGAUUUAUUGCGUUGGGAUGGUCCCUCGUGGGAUUAGGUUGUUGGUAGGGUAAAAGCCUACCAAGGCGACGAUCCAUAGCUGGGCUGAGAGGAUGAUUAGCCACACUGGGACUGAGACACGGCCCAGACUCCUACGGGAGGCAGCAGUGGGGAAUAUUGGAACAUGGGCGAAAGCAUGAUCCAGCAAUGACGCGUGAGUGAUGAAAGCAUUAGGGUUGUAAAGCUCUUUUACCCGGGAUGAUAAUGACAGUACCGGGAGAAUAAGCCCCGGCUAACUACGUG
Molecule: ribosomal RNA, 433 nt
Filed under: uncultured bacterium
Lineage: Bacteria
Description: partial 16S ribosomal RNA
Rfam family: Bacterial small subunit ribosomal RNA
Source: RNAcentral